Molecule: ribosomal RNA, 403 nt
Filed under: bacterium
Lineage: Bacteria
Description: partial 16S ribosomal RNA
Rfam family: Bacterial small subunit ribosomal RNA
Source: RNAcentral
UGGGGAAUAUUGCACAAUGGAGGGAACUCUGAUGCAGCGACGCCGCGUGAACGAAGAAGGCUUUCGAGUCGUAAAGUUCUUUUAUAUGGGAAGAUAAUGACGGUACCAUAAGAAGAAGCCCCGGCUAACUACGUGCCAGCAGCCGCGGUAAUACGUAGGGGGCUAGCGUUGUCCGGAAUCACUGGGCGUAAAGGGUUCGCAGGCGGAAAUGCAAGUCAGGUGUAAAAGGCAGUAGCUUAACUACUGUAAGCAUUUGAAACUGCAGAUCUUGAGAAGAGUAGAGGUAAGUGGAAUUUUUAGUGUAGCGGUGAAAUGCGUAGAUAUUAAAAAGAAUACCGGUGGCGAAGGCGACUUACUGGGCUCAUUCUGACGCUGAGGAACGAAAGCGUGGGUAGCAAACAGG